Molecule: long non-coding RNA, 1400 nt
Filed under: Junco hyemalis (dark-eyed junco)
Lineage: Eukaryota; Metazoa; Chordata; Aves; Passeriformes; Passerellidae
Description: lncRNA (ENSJHYG00000002936.1)
Source: RNAcentral
CCGGGCUAGAGCGAGGGGCACGGCUGUCAGUCGGGGGGGCUCGGUCCUCUCAUUUUCCUGUGCCCAUCGCAUCUCCCCGCGGACCAGCCGGCCCUGCCCAGCUGCUCCCCUCCCUCCCCCUGUCCGGGAACCGGGUUUGGGGCUGGGGGAGGCGGUGCCCACCCCUCCGCGGGGCCGGCGGGAGCGGUGGCUCGGCAGCCCGGGCCGGGCUGCGCUGCGCUGCGCUGGGGGAGCAGGUUUCUUUGUUGGCUGCCGGGUGACUGGUUCCCAUUAAUCUCCCGCACUGGUCGUGGCCGUCUCCACUUCCUGCCUUUGCAUACUUUUCUCUCCCUCGAUCUCAGUCCCUUCCCACCCCCCUCCCUCCCUCCCCCCUUUCUUUGCCUCUUCCCAGCUUCUCCAAAAAAGCUACAACCGCCCGGGCUGCGGGACGGGGGCUGCAGGCGGCCGGCGGAGGGAGCGCAUCCCUGCGCACCUCGAAACAUGAAAGAAUACAGGAAGUCCUGCAUGACCUUAUGAAUACCUGUGCUAAUUAAGUCACUGGCUUGGUACUGGGAGAACAGCAAGGUAAGCAGUCAGGCCAUGCCAGCAGAAUUUCUUGUAAUCUGCAUGAUUGUAUUUCAACAAAGCUUCAGUGCUUUCACAUAUCAAAUUCAUAAGUAGUCAGGCAAAGAGAAAUAGCCUGCAGGUCUGAAUGUGAUAGAUUUACUUUUAGUUCAAAGCUUUGGUGAGUAAACAUCUCUUUUUUUCCUUCUGGGAAAAAAAGUACAAGUUUUGUGGUCGUUUUCUCUUUUUUAGAAGGCGAUAUCUCUAAUUUCCACAAUCAAUUCCUGCCCAAAUCUCAGCUUCCUGGGCUGACUCUGGGGAGGGGCUGGAGGAGGGGUGGAAUGUUUCAAAACUUAGCUGAUGAAAAGGCAUGCUGUUUUGUGGAUGCCUCCCAGAAUUGUUUAAAUCUGUGUGUGUGUGUGCGCGCGCUUAUGAAAGGGGGGGGAGAGAGAUCUCCAUGACAACUGGCCUGGCCAGUCUGUGUUCUCUGCAAUCAUUGUGGCUGGAAUCAGUGCUGAGAGAGGUCAUAUGAAGGAGUUAUGGGAAGCACAGCAGGUAUUAGACACUAAACGACUGGUUUUCUGAUUGCCUCAGAUAAUAACACAGAGUUUUGUCUGGGAAAUACAAAUCUGAGAAUGGAGUGGAAAGGGAAAUGCUCCAAAUUUCAGGUAACAAAAAUUGCCUUUUUAAUGUUAUGUCCUCCCAUUGUAAAGUUUGAUGAUUUUUAAUUUUUUUUUUAACUUGGUGGUGGUGUUUACUCCCAGCCGAGAGUGCCGGAGUGAGCUUGGAUUCUCUAACUCUGGGGAAUGAUGUCAUGCAGCAACAGUUGGAUUCUAUUAGCCAGGGAAAGAGGAAAC